GAUUUGAUGUAAGGGUGUUCACAU
RNAcentral lists this non-coding RNA (24 nucleotides) under Arabidopsis thaliana (thale cress). Lineage: Eukaryota; Viridiplantae; Streptophyta; Magnoliopsida; Brassicales; Brassicaceae. The record is from RNAcentral.